UGCUGAGAAGAGAGAAUGCCGGAAUGAGUAGCGAGAACAAGGUGAGAAUCCUUGUGGCCGAAUAUCCAAGGUUUCCAGAGUAAAGCUGAUCUGCUCUGGGUAAGUCGGGGCCUAAGGAGAGGCAGAGAUGCGUAUCCGAUGGACAGCAGGUUUAAGAUUCCUGCACCCCUUGUUAUCAGAACUGCGGGGACACGGGAAGGGAAGCAGAGCCGGGAAUGGAAAGCCCGGUGCAAGCGAAGUAGUCGCAGGGUUGGAAAAUCCGCCCUGCAUGAGACGAAGGCGUGAUGCGGAGCGAAAUGAAGUAGUGAAGCUGCGGCCCCUUCCUGUCGAGAAAAGCCGCUAUCGUGUAGCAAGGGCCCGUACCGUAAACCGACACAGGUGGAUGAGGAGAGAAUCCUAAGGCCGACGGGAGAAGCAUUGUUAAGGAACUCGGCAAAAUAACCCCGUAACUUCGGGAGAAGGGGAACCUAAGUAAAAUUAGGUCGCAGAGAAAAGGCCCAAGCAACUGUUUAACAAAAACACAGGUUUCUGCAAAAUCGAAAGAUGAAGUAUAGGAGCUGACGCCUGCCCAGUGCUGGAAGGUUAAGGGAAAGAGUUAGAUGUAAGUCGAAGCUUAGAACUAAAGCCCCAGUGAACGGCGGCCGUAACUAUAACGGUCCUAAGGUAGCGAAAUUCCUUGUCAGGUAAGUUCUGACCCGCACGAAUGGCGUAAUGAUUUGGGCACUGUCUCAACAGCCCGCCCGGCGAAAUUGUAGUACCGGUGAAGAUGCCGGUUACCCGCGACAAGACGGAAAGACCCCAUGGAGCUUUACUGUAGCCUGAUAUUGGGUUUCGGUGUUGCAUGCACAGGAUAGAUGGGACGCUGGGAAAGAAGCGCUUUGGCGUUUCUGGAGCGGACGUUGGGAUACCAUCCUUGCGACAUUGGAAUUCUAACCUGCGCCUCUGAAUCGAGGCGGGGGACAUUGUCAGGUGGGCAGUUUGACUGGGGCGGUCGCCUCCUAAAAAGUAGCGGAGGCGCUCAAAGGUUGGCUCAGCACGGACGGAAAUCGUGCGGUGAGUGUAAACGUAUAAGCCAGCCUAACUGCGAGAGUGACGGCUCGAGCAGUAACGAAAGUUGGAGUUAGUGAUCCGGUGGUAUGUGAGUGGAAAUGCCAUCGCUCAACGGAUAAAAGCUACCCUGGGGAUAACAGGCUGAUCUCCCCCAAGCGUCCACAGCGACGGGGAGGUUUGGCACCUCGAUGUCGGCUCGUCGCAUCCUGGGGCUGAAUUCGGUCCCAAGGGUUUGGCUGUUCGCCAAUUAAAGC
RNAcentral lists this ribosomal RNA (1304 nucleotides) under human gut metagenome. RNAcentral's name for it is "bacterial LSU rRNA". It matches the Rfam family "Bacterial large subunit ribosomal RNA", at positions 1279 to 2594 of the family's 2925-position model. The record is from RNAcentral.